Molecule: ribosomal RNA, 590 nt
Filed under: Trichoderma asperellum
Lineage: Eukaryota; Fungi; Ascomycota; Sordariomycetes; Hypocreales; Hypocreaceae
Description: eukaryotic LSU rRNA
Rfam family: 5.8S ribosomal RNA (bases 210-363)
Source: RNAcentral
UUGGUGACCAGCGGAGGGAUCAUUACCGAGUUUACAACUCCCAAACCCAAUGUGAACGUUACCAAACUGUUGCCUCGGCGGGGUCACGCCCCGGGUGCGUCGCAGCCCCGGAACCAGGCGCCCGCCGGAGGAACCAACCAAACUCUUUCUGUAGUCCCCUCGCGGACGUAUUUCUUUACAGCUCUGAGCAAAAAUUCAAAAUGAAUCAAAACUUUCAACAACGGAUCUCUUGGUUCUGGCAUCGAUGAAGAACGCAGCGAAAUGCGAUAAGUAAUGUGAAUUGCAGAAUUCAGUGAAUCAUCGAAUCUUUGAACGCACAUUGCGCCCGCCAGUAUUCUGGCGGGCAUGCCUGUCCGAGCGUCAUUUCAACCCUCGAACCCCUCCGGGGGAUCGGCGUUGGGGAUCGGGACCCCUCACACGGGUGCCGGCCCCUAAAUACAGUGGCGGUCUCGCCGCAGCCUCUCCUGCGCAGUAGUUUGCACAACUCGCACCGGGAGCGCGGCGCGUCCACGUCCGUAAAACACCCAACUUUCUGAAAUGUUGACCUCGGAUCAGGUAGGAAUACCCGCUGAACUUAAGCAUAUCAAUAA